RNAcentral lists this ribosomal RNA (255 nucleotides) under uncultured bacterium. Its description in RNAcentral is "partial 16S ribosomal RNA". It matches the Rfam family "Bacterial small subunit ribosomal RNA", at positions 524 to 777 of the family's 1533-position model. The record is from RNAcentral.
UACGAAGGGGGCUAGCGUUGUUCGGAUUUACUGGGCGUAAAGCGCACGUAGGCGGAUUGUUAAGUUGGGGGUGAAAUCCUGGAGCUCAACUCCAGAACUGCCUUCAAUACUGGCAAUCUCGAGUCCGGAAGAGGUAAGUGGAACUCCUAGUGUAGAGGUGGAAUUCGUAGAUAUUAGGAAGAACACCAGUGGCGAAGGCGGCUCACUGGCCCGGUACUGACGCUGAGGCGCGAAAGCGUGGGGGAGCAAACAGGG